UACGUAGGGCGCAAGCGUUGUCCGGAAUUAUUGGGCGUAACGAGUGCGUAGGCGGUCAGUGGCGUCUGCUGUGAAAUCCCGGGGCUCAACCCCGGGCUUGCAGUGGAUACGGGCUGGCUGGAGGCAGGCAGGGGAGAACGGAAUUCCCGGUGUAGCGGUGAAAUGCGCAGAUAUCGGGAGGAACACCGGUGGCGAAGGCGGUUCUCUGGGCCUGUACUGACGCUGAGGAGCGAAAGCGUGGGGAGCGAACAGG
This 253-nucleotide ribosomal RNA is filed under the name uncultured bacterium. Its description in RNAcentral is "partial 16S ribosomal RNA". It matches the Rfam family "Bacterial small subunit ribosomal RNA", at positions 524 to 776 of the family's 1533-position model. The record is from RNAcentral.